Manduca sexta (tobacco hornworm) is the source of this 311-nucleotide long non-coding RNA. RefSeq lists it as uncharacterized. Lineage: Eukaryota; Metazoa; Arthropoda; Insecta; Lepidoptera; Sphingidae. The transcript is spliced from 3 exons. The record is from RefSeq and is a predicted model, not a curated record.
CACCCGUCGAACCAGCAGUGGGCCGCUGUCACAGCACGAGUGUUGCUGAGCAGUGCUGAACCGCAGACAGAUUGGCCACCAGGCACCGCAAUCACCAGUCCGCCCUACGUAAUGAUUAGACGAUUGUCAAUUUCAAGUGUCGAUUUUAGAUGAACCUAGAACAUGGAAAAAUCGAUUGAAUAGUGAAGACCAACUGCAGAAAAUUCUUGAAGUACUAACCAUGUAAGGGUAUGCGCCGAGUGCUGCCGGAGAGCCAUUGAAGAUCCUGCUGCCGUCGAAGUCAGCGGCCUGUUCAGCUUGCCUGAUGUGCU